Molecule: long non-coding RNA, 134 nt
Organism: Poecilia latipinna (sailfin molly)
Lineage: Eukaryota; Metazoa; Chordata; Actinopteri; Cyprinodontiformes; Poeciliidae
Exons: 3
Source: RefSeq, a predicted model, not a curated record
AGGUCAAUAGGGCAGAAUAAGUUAUUAAUCUGAAAACUAUAAUUAGGCUAUUUCAAUCAAGACAUGUUAACAACUAGGAGAGAUUACAAAUUAGAUUGUGUUUUACAGAUAUUCUAUAAAACGCAAUUUUGUAG